This 31-nucleotide non-coding RNA is filed under the name Homo sapiens (human). The record is from RNAcentral. Lineage: Eukaryota; Metazoa; Chordata; Mammalia; Primates; Hominidae.
UAGUGUGGUGAAAUGCAUUAAUUGCAACUGC